UACGUAGGGGGCUAACGUUAUCCGGAAUUACUGGGCGUAAAGGGUGCGUAGGUGGUUUCUUAAGUCAGAGGUGAAAGGCUACGGCUCAACCGUAGUAAGCCUUUGAAACUGAGAAACUUGAGUGCAGGAGAGGAGAGUAGAAUUCCUAGUGUAGCGGUGAAAUGCGUAGAUAUUAGGAGGAACACCAGUGGCGAAGGCGACUUUCUGGACUGUAACUGACGUUGAGGCACGAAAGUGUGGGGAGCAAACAGGAUUAGAUACCCCGGUAGUCCCUGAGCGGGCUGG
Molecule: ribosomal RNA, 285 nt
Filed under: uncultured prokaryote
Description: partial 16S ribosomal RNA
Rfam family: Bacterial small subunit ribosomal RNA
Source: RNAcentral